Molecule: long non-coding RNA, 121 nt
Organism: Mustela erminea (ermine)
Lineage: Eukaryota; Metazoa; Chordata; Mammalia; Carnivora; Mustelidae
Exons: 3
Source: RefSeq, a predicted model, not a curated record
CGUCUGUGGAGGAGCCUGGUCUGGACAUGUCACACGCGUGGACUCACACCCCGUGUGGCCUCCUGUGUCUGGUUCCCUCCCUGCGCGCCGUGGGCUCGGGGUCCGCCCUGGAGAGUGCAUG